GCAACUCGACUACAUGAAGCUGGAAUCGCUAGUAAUCGCGAAUCAGAAUGUCGCGGUGAAUACGUUCCCGGGUCUUGUACACACCGCCCGUCACACCAUGGGAGUCAGUAACGCCCGAAGCCGGUGACCCAACCGAUAAGGAGGGAGCCGUCGAAGGUGGGACCGAUAACUGGGGUGAAGUCGUAACAAGGUAUC
Molecule: ribosomal RNA, 195 nt
Filed under: uncultured bacterium
Lineage: Bacteria
Description: partial 16S ribosomal RNA
Rfam family: Bacterial small subunit ribosomal RNA
Source: RNAcentral